Molecule: ribosomal RNA, 335 nt
Filed under: uncultured bacterium
Lineage: Bacteria
Description: bacterial SSU rRNA
Rfam family: Bacterial small subunit ribosomal RNA
Source: RNAcentral
AGAGACGAGUCAGAGUUUGAUCCUGGCUCAGGAUGAACGCUGGCGGCGUGCAUAACACAUUCAAGUCGAACGGUGACGGGACUCGGUCCCUGAUCAGUGGCGGACGGGUGAGUAACGCGUGAGCAAUCUGCCUGGCAUAGAGGGAUAACACAGGGAAACUUGUGCUAAUACCACAUGAUGUAUACCGAUCGCAUGUUUGGUAUACCAAAGGGAAACCGAUGUCAGAUGAGCUCGCGUUGGAUUAGAUAGUUGGCAGGGUAACGGCCUACCAAGUCUGCGAUCCAUAGCCGAACUGAGAGGUUGAACGGCCACAUUGGAACUGAGAAACGGUCCAG